CUGUCUGACAUUGAGUGCCUGGAGCCCUCCCUAGCUCUCCAGCUGGAACCUUCCUCUGUAGGAAGGCUGAGGCUAGCAGGGAGAAGCCAGGAUGGAUUUUAAAGAGCCUUGUUGUCUCUAAGGAAGAGUGGAGCUUACAUCUUUGGGUUUGCAGAAAUGCCCACAUUCAACUCAGGGGGAAUAAAAGGAUGGGAGUUAGAAUUUCAACUUGCAGUUGCAGAAUCUCAGAGUUAAAAGAAACCUCAGAGGUCAUCUCUUCCAACCCUUCUCCAGAGCAGCUUUAAUUGCCUGUGUGGGAGAUUCAGGGCCAGCAGCUGCAGCUUCCCUUUCCCUGCCUCUGACUUGCCAGAAUCCUGUUACACCUGGGAUUUAGGCACUUUCAAUCUGAAAAAAUACAUAUCCUUUCAGCACUCUGGACGGACUUGAGAACUGUCCUUACGUGACCUAAAGCUGGAGUAUUUUGAGAUUGGAGAAUUAAGGCCAACAGAGAUUUUGAGAAACACAUUGAAGGAUCUGUUAACACUUGAUAUACCCAAUAAAAGCAGUGGUUGUGCCAGUGCUGAUCUGUCUUGAUGUGAAUGUGAACAAUGGGAACCUGAGCUGAGCAGUUAAUGCUAGGGUGACAGAAACUGGACCUCUCCCAAGACAUGUGACAGAGUAAUACAGCAGCCAACUUCUUCGCCAAAUUAAAGUUUUACAAGAUUUAACCUGUCAUCAAGACCUGGGAUUUUGGUGAGCCAGUCUUGGUGCUCUGUGUUCACCUGGUUCAUCUGAGGAGCUGCAUCUACCCUGCCCAUGCCAUAGAUCCUGCCCUGUUUGCUUCUCCUGUUGCUGCUAGUGGACAUGAGAAGGACAGAAUAACGGGCUCCCAGAUUCACAAGCCCCACCAAGAGGAUCACCCCAGGAACGCUUGGAGGCUGAGGAGUUCACUGAGGCUACUGCAUCUUGAGACUCAGGAUGAAGACCCAGCUUGGGGCUGUCAAAGAGGCCUGAAGAGGCAGAACACCCCAGAGGAGCCUGGGGCCACCACCCAGCAUCACUGUGGGAAAACGGCAGCAGGAAAUGUCCUCUCGCCUGCGUGCUCCACCUCGGUCCACGCCUUCCCUCCUUCUGGAAGCCUUGCCUGACCACUGGCCUGCCCCUUCUAUGGGAAUCACUACUGACCUUGCAGCUUAUUAUAGACUUAUAUGUUUUUUGCAUGUCUGACACCCAUGACUCCACCUGGACCUUAUGGCUCCACCCAGAAGCAAUUCAGCCCAACAGGAGGACAGCUUCAACCCAUUACGAUUUCAUCUCUGCCCCAACCACUCAGCAGCAAGCACCUGUUACCUGUCCACCCCCACCCCUUCCCCCAAACUGCCUUUGAAAAAUCCCUAACCUAUGAGCUUUGAAUAAGAUGAGUACGAACUUCAUCGCCCACGUGGCGUGGCCGGCCUCGUGUCUAUUAAAUUCUUUUUCUACUACAA
RNAcentral lists this long non-coding RNA (1466 nucleotides) under Homo sapiens (human). RNAcentral describes it as "Pvt1 oncogene". The stretch from base 350 to 479 matches the Rfam family "Pvt1 oncogene conserved region 5". The record is from RNAcentral. Lineage: Eukaryota; Metazoa; Chordata; Mammalia; Primates; Hominidae.